RNAcentral lists this ribosomal RNA (440 nucleotides) under uncultured bacterium. RNAcentral describes it as "partial 16S ribosomal RNA". It matches the Rfam family "Bacterial small subunit ribosomal RNA", at positions 338 to 795 of the family's 1533-position model. The record is from RNAcentral.
CCUACGGGAGGCAGCAGUGGGGAAUAUUGCACAAUGGGGGGAACCCUGAUGCAGCGACGCCGCGUGAGUGAAGAAGUAUUUCGGUAUGUAAAGCUCUAUCAGCAGGGAAGAAAAUGACGGUACCUGACUAAGAAGCCCCGGCUAACUACGUGCCAGCAGCCGCGGUAAUACGUAGGGGGCAAGAGUUAUCCGGAUUUACUGGGUGUAAAGGGAGCGCAGACGGCUGUGCAAGUCUGGAGUGAAAGGCGGGGGCCCAACCCCCGGACUGCUCUGGAAACUGUAAAGCUGGAGUGCAGGAGAGGUAAGCGGAAUUCCUAGUGUAGCGGUGAAAUGCGGAGAUAUUAGGAGGAACACCAGUGGCGAAGGCGGCUUACUGGACUGCAACUGACGUUGAGGCUCGAAAGCGUGGGGAGCAAACAGGAUUAGAUACCCCAGUAGUC